UGGGGAAUAUUGCACAAUGGGCGAAAGCCUGAUGCAGCGACGCCGCGUGAGGGAUGACGGCCUUCGGGUUGUAAACCUCUUUCAGUAGGGAAGAAGCGAAAGUGACGGUACCUGCAGAAGAAGCGCCGGCUAACUACGUGCCAGCAGCCGCGGUAAUACGUAGGGCGCAAGCGUUAUCCGGAAUUAUUGGGCGUAAAGAGCUCGUAGGCGGUUUGUCGCGUCUGCUGUGAAAGACCGGGGCUCAACUCCGGUUCUGCAGUGGGUACGGGCAGACUAGAGUGCAGUAGGGGAGACUGGAAUUCCUGGUGUAGCGGUGAAAUGCGCAGAUAUCAGGAGGAACACCGAUGGCGAAGGCAGGUCUCUGGGCUGUAACUGACGCUGAGGAGCGAAAGCAUGGGGAGCGAACA
This 407-nucleotide ribosomal RNA is filed under the name uncultured Micrococcaceae bacterium. Its description in RNAcentral is "partial 16S ribosomal RNA". It matches the Rfam family "Bacterial small subunit ribosomal RNA", at positions 355 to 774 of the family's 1533-position model. The record is from RNAcentral. Lineage: Bacteria; Bacillati; Actinomycetota; Actinomycetes; Micrococcales; Micrococcaceae. RNAcentral also lists the same sequence under 1 other name.